RNAcentral lists this transfer RNA (69 nucleotides) under Streptomyces phaeochromogenes. RNAcentral describes it as "tRNA-OTHER". It matches the Rfam family "tRNA". Rfam says of the family: Transfer RNA (tRNA) molecules are approximately 80 nucleotides in length. Lineage: Bacteria; Bacillati; Actinomycetota; Actinomycetes; Kitasatosporales; Streptomycetaceae. RNAcentral also lists the same sequence under 6 other names. The record is from RNAcentral.
GCCUGCGUAGCUCAGCGGUAGAGCGGCCCCACUUGCGGGUGGUCAGGGGUUCAAAUCCCCUCGCAGGCA